Molecule: ribosomal RNA, 497 nt
Filed under: uncultured bacterium
Lineage: Bacteria
Description: partial 16S ribosomal RNA
Rfam family: Bacterial small subunit ribosomal RNA
Source: RNAcentral
GAUGAACGCUGGCGGCGUGCCUAAUACAUGCAAGUCGAGCGAACAGACGAGGAGCUUGCUUCUCUGAUGUUAGCGGCGGACGGGUGAGUAACACGUGGAUAACCUACCUAUAAGACUGGGAUAACUUCGGGAAACCGGAGCUAAUACCGGAUAAUAUAUUGAACCGCAUGGUUCAAUAGUGAAAGACGGUUUUGCUGUCACUUAUAGAUGGAUCCGCGCCGCAUUAGCUAGUUGGUAAGGUAACGGCUUACCAAGGCGACGAUGCGUAGCCGACCUGAGAGGGUGAUCGGCCACACUGGAACUGAGACACGGUCCAGACUCCUACGGGAGGCAGCAGUAGGGAAUCUUCCGCAAUGGGCGAAAGCCUGACGGAGCAACGCCGCGUGAGUGAUGAAGGUCUUCGGAUCGUAAAACUCUGUUAUUAGGGAAGAACAAAUGUGUAAGUAACUAUGCACAUCUUGACGGUACCUAAUCAGAAAGCCACGGCUAACUACGUG